This 1109-nucleotide unclassified non-coding RNA is filed under the name Hevea brasiliensis (rubber tree). The record is from RNAcentral. Lineage: Eukaryota; Viridiplantae; Streptophyta; Magnoliopsida; Malpighiales; Euphorbiaceae.
CACCGGAGUUCAAGAGGUUGCAGGAGAGACCCCAAUUGCAUUACCAGGUUGGGGUGACCCCUGAAGGAGUAGAAGUUCCAAGGAGCCUGGUUGAUGAAGAGAUGCAAGAGGAAUUAAAAGCAAUGCCCAAAGAGUUCCAACCAUCCACUCCGAAAGGACCGGAUCGCAAGUGGCGAUACAUGUGGAGAGUAGGUCCUCGGCCGUUGAACACCCAUUUUAAGGAACUUAAUUCAGAACCUGUAAUACCUGAAGGUUUCCCAGAAUGGAAAGAAACUAUGGACUCAUGGGGGCACAAAAUGAUCUCAGCAAUAGAGGCUGUUGCUGAAAUGGCCGCAAUUGGUUUUGGUUUGCCCAAGGAUGCAUUUACUUCUAUUAUGAAGCAGGGACCCCAUCUUCUUGCACCAACAGGGAGUGACCUUGGCUGCUAUGGCCAAGAAGGCACUGUGUUUGCUGGAUAUCAUUAUGACCUUAACUUUCUAACAAUUCAUGGUAGAAGCAGAUUUCCUGGUCUUAACAUUUGGCUAAGGAAUGGACAGAAAGUUGGAGUGAAGGUUCCUCUAGGAUGUCUACUCAUUCAGACAGGGAAGCAGAUAGAGUGGUUGACUGCAGGAGACUGCAUAGCUGGCAUGCAUGAAGUUGUUGUCACAAAGAGAACAAUUGAUGCAGUCAAAUUAGCAUCAGAACAAAACUGUAGCNNNNNNNNNNNNNUUUUUGCACACAUAGCAUCAGAUGCUGUGUUAAAGCCUUUAGGUCACUUCGCAGAAUCCCCGCUAGCCAGCAAAUACCCUCCCAUCCGUGCUGGAGAGUUUGUCGAACAAGAACUUUCUGUAAUCAAUCUGAAAGGAAAUAAAGGUGAAUCAUGAUUACUUUCUAAGUAGUGACCACCAUUAUGCAUCUUGUUGUUCCACUGAUGCAAACAGUGUCUUAUUAUGGUUGUUGGGAUUUUUCAUUUGCAUUAUAAAGAAGGGGGCUUCAGUGGGGCUAGAAUAUUUCUGCAUGUUCUUCCAUGUUUAUUGUGAAUGGUGCACACAUGCUUAUCCUUGAACCCUGUCAGGUUUUGUGAAAUUAGUUAUUAUUGACAUCUUUUUUACUUAAAAAAAAAAAAAAAA